GCCUCCAUAGCUCAGUGGUUAGAGCACUAGUCUCGUAAACUAGGGGUCGAGAGUUCGAUUCUCUCUGGGGGCA
RNAcentral lists this transfer RNA (73 nucleotides) under Frankliniella occidentalis (western flower thrips). It matches the Rfam family "tRNA". Rfam says of the family: Transfer RNA (tRNA) molecules are approximately 80 nucleotides in length. Their secondary structure includes four short double-helical elements and three loops (D, anti-codon, and T loops). The record is from Rfam by way of RNAcentral. RNAcentral also lists the same sequence under 1 other name. Lineage: Eukaryota; Metazoa; Arthropoda; Insecta; Thysanoptera; Thripidae.